RNAcentral lists this ribosomal RNA (469 nucleotides) under uncultured bacterium. RNAcentral describes it as "partial 16S ribosomal RNA". It matches the Rfam family "Bacterial small subunit ribosomal RNA", at positions 28 to 507 of the family's 1533-position model. The record is from RNAcentral.
GACGAACGCUGGCGGCGUGCUUAACACAUGCAAGUCGAACGAUGAUCCCCCGCUUGCGGGGGUUGUUAGUGUCGAACGGGUGAGUAAUACGUGAGUAACCUCCCCUUUACUCUGUGAUAAGCCUUGGAAACCGUGUCUAAUACUGGAUACUACUUCCUGCCGCAUGUUGUGGGGUGUAAAGGGUUUUACUGGUUUUGGAUGGGCUCACGGCCUAUCAGCUUGUUGGUGGAGUAAUGGCUCACCAAGGCGACGACGGGUAGCCGGCCUGAGAGGGUGACCGGGCAAACUGGGGCUGAGGGACAGACCAGGCCCCUACGGGUGGACGGCGGGGGGAAGAAUGGCAAAGGGGGGGGAGCCCGAUGCCGAGAAGGCGGGGGGGGGAUGACGGGCUUGGGGUUGGAAAACUGUUUCAGCAGGGAAGAAGGCACAAGUGACGGUAACUGCAGAAGAAGCGCCGGCUAACUACGUG